RNAcentral lists this ribosomal RNA (273 nucleotides) under uncultured bacterium. RNAcentral's name for it is "partial 16S ribosomal RNA". It matches the Rfam family "Bacterial small subunit ribosomal RNA", at positions 84 to 354 of the family's 1533-position model. The record is from RNAcentral.
CCGUGCCGCGACCGGCGCACGGUGAGUAACACGUAUGCAACCUGCCCGUGGCAGGGGGAUAAGCGGGGGAAACCCCGUCUAAUACCGCGUAACGCGGCCUAGGGACAUCCCAAGGCCGCCAAAGGGAGCAAUCCCGGCCACGGAUGGGCAUGCGGCGCAUUAGCUAGUCGGCGGGGUAACGGCCCACCGAGGCGACGAUGCGUAGGGGUUCUGAGAGGAAGGCCCCCCACACUGGUACUGAGACACGGACCAGACUCCUACGGGAGGCAGCAG